RNAcentral lists this ribosomal RNA (468 nucleotides) under uncultured bacterium. Its description in RNAcentral is "partial 16S ribosomal RNA". It matches the Rfam family "Bacterial small subunit ribosomal RNA", at positions 28 to 507 of the family's 1533-position model. The record is from RNAcentral.
GACGAACGCUGGCGGCGUGCUUAACACAUGCAAGUCGAACGGAAAGGCCCUGCUUUUGUGGGGUGCUCGAGUGGCGAACGGGUGAGUAACACGUGAGUAACCUGCCCUUGACUUUGGGAUAACUUCAGGAAACUGGGGCUAAUACCGGAUAGGAGCUCCUGCUGCAUGGUGGUGGUUGGAAAGUUUCGGCGGUUGGGGAUGGACUCGCGGCUUAUCAGCUUGUUGGUGGGGUAGUGGCUUACCAAGGCUUUGACGGGUAGCCGGCCUGAGAGGGUGACGGGCCACAUUGGGACUGAGAUCGGGCCCAGACUCCUACGGGAGGCAGCAGUGGGGAAUAUUGCACAAUGGGCGGAAGCCUGAUGCAGCAACGCCGCGUGCGGGAUGACGGCCUUCGGGUUGUAACCCGCUUUCGCCUGUGACGAAGCGUGAGUGACGGUAAUGGGUAAAGAAGCACCGGCUAACUACGUG